This is a long non-coding RNA of Gallus gallus (chicken), 4334 nucleotides long. Lineage: Eukaryota; Metazoa; Chordata; Aves; Galliformes; Phasianidae. The record is from Ensembl.
AUGGGGUGUGGGGCACAGCGCUGUGGGGCACAUGGACAGCGUUAUGGGGCACAUGGAGAGUGCUAUGGGGGGUGAUGCUGUGGGGCACAGUGCUGUGGGACACAUGGACAGCGCUAUGGGGUGUGAUGCUGUGGGGCACAGCGCUGUGGGGCACAAGGAUGGUGCUGUGGGGCACACGGUGCUAUGGGGUGUGGGGUGCAGUGCUGUGGGGCACAUGGAGAGCGCUAUGGGGGGUGAUGCUGUGGGGCACAGCGCUGUGGGGCACAGCGCUGUGGGGCACAUGGACAGCGCUAUGGGGCACAUGGACAGCGCUGUGGGGUGUGAUGCUGUGGGGCACAGCGCUGUGGGGCACAGGGAUGGCGCUGUGGGGCACAGUGGCAGCGCUAUGGGGCACAGUGGCAGCACUAUGGGGCGCAGUGACAGCGCUAUGGGGCACAGGGGUGGCUCUGUGGGGCAGAAGGAUGGCACUGUGGGGCCCAGGGAUGGCUCUAUGGGGCACAGCGGUGGUUCUAUGGGGCACAGUGACAGCGCUAUGGGGCACAGGGAUGGCUCUAUGGGGCACAGGGAUGGCUCUGUGGGGCACAGCAGUGGUUCUGUGGGGCACAGUGGCAGCGCUAUGGGGCACAGGGAUGGCGCUAUGGGCCACAGUGGCUGCGCUAUGGGGCACAGGGAUGGCGCUGUGGGACAGAAUGGUGGCACUAUGGGGCACAGUGGCAGCGCUAUGGGGCACAGCGGUGGUUCUAUGGGGCACAGGGAAGCCGCUAUGGGGCACAGUGGCGGCGCUAUGGGGCGCAGAGACAGCGCUAUGGGGCACAGGGAUGGCUCUAUGGGGCACAGCGGUGGUGCUAUGGGGCACAGUGGCAGCGCUAUGGGGCACAGUGACGGCGCUAUGGGGCACAGGGAUGGCUCUGUGGGGCACAGCGGUGGUGCUAUGGGGCACAGUGGCAGCGCUAUGGGGCACAGUGGCAGCACUAUGGGGCGCAGUGACAGCGCUAUGGGGCACAGGGGUGGCUCUGUGGGGCAGAAGGAUGGCACUGUGGGGCCCAGGGAUGGCUCUAUGGGGCACAGCGGUGGUUCUAUGGGGCACAGUGACAGCGCUAUGGGGCACAGGGAUGGCUCUAUGGGGCACAGGGAUGGCUCUGUGGGGCACAGCAGUGGUUCUGUGGGGCACAGUGGCAGCGCUAUGGGGCACAGGGAUGGCGCUAUGGGCCACAGUGGCUGCGCUAUGGGGCACAGGGAUGGCGCUGUGGGACAGAAUGGUGGCACUAUGGGGCACAGUGGCAGCGCUAUGGGGCACAGCGGUGGUUCUAUGGGGCACAGGGAAGCCGCUAUGGGGCACAGUGGCGGCGCUAUGGGGCGCAGAGACAGCGCUAUGGGGCACAGGGAUGGCUCUAUGGGGCACAGCGGUGGUGCUAUGGGGCACAGUGGCAGCGCUAUGGGGCACAGUGACGGCGCUAUGGGGCACAGGGAUGGCUCUGUGGGGCACAGCGGUGGUGCUAUGGGGCACAGUGGCAGCGCUAUGGGGCACAGUGGCAGCACUAUGGGGCGCAGUGACAGCACUAUGGGGCACAGGGAUGGCUCUAUGGGGCACAGCGGUGGUGCUAUGGGGCGCAGUGGCAGCGCUAUGGGGCACAGCGGUGGUUCUAUGGGGCACAGGGAUGGCGCUAUGGGGCACAGUGACGGCGCUAUGGGGCACAGGGAUGGCUCUAUGGGGCACAGUGGCAGCGCUAUGGGGCACAGUGGCAGCACUAUGGGGCGCAGUGACAGCACUAUGGGGCACAGCGGUGGUGCUAUGGGGCACAGCGGUGGUGCUAUGGGGCGCAGAGACAGCGCUAUGGGGCACAGGGAUGGCUCUAUGGGGCACAGCGGUGGUGCUAUGGGGCACAGUGGCAGCGCUAUGGGGCGCAGUGGCGGCGCUAUGGGGCACAGUGACGGCGCUAUGGGGCACAGGGAUGGCUCUAUGGGGCACAGUGGCAGCGCUAUGGGGCACAGUGGCAGCACUAUGGGGCGCAGUGACAGCACUAUGGGGCACAGCGGUGGUGCUAUGGGGCACAGCGGUGGUGCUAUGGGGCGCAGUGGCAGCGCUAUGGGGCACAGCGGUGGCUCUAUGGGGCACAGCGGUGGCUCUAUGGGGCACAGUGGCAGCGCUAUGGGGCACAGUGACAGCGCUAUAGGGCACAGGGGUCUCGCUAUGGGGCCCAGGGAUGGCUCUAUGGGGCACAGGGACAGCGCUAUGGGGCACAGGGAUGGCUCUAUGGGGCACAGCGGCAGCGCUAUGGGGCACAGGGAUGGCUCUAUGGGGCACAGUGGCAGCGCUAUGGGGCACAGGGAUGGCUCUAUGGGGCACAGUGGCGGCGCUAUGGGGCGCAGUGGCAGUGCUAUGGGGCACAGGGAUGGCUCUAUGAGGCGCAGUGAAAGUGCUAUGGGGCGCAGUGACAGUGCUAUGGGGCACAGGGGUGGCUCUGUAGGGCAGAAUGGUGGCACUAUGGGGCCCAGUGGUGGCGCUAUGGGGCACAGGGAUGGCUCUAUGGGGCACAGUGGCAGCGCUAUGGGGAGCAGUGGCAGUGCUAUGGGGCACAGGGAUGGCUCUAUGGGGCACAGCGGUGGCUCUAUGGGGCACAGGGAUGGCUCUAUGGGGCACAGCGGUGGUGCUAUGGGGCACAGUGGCAGCGCUAUGGGGCACAGUGGCAGCGCUAUGGGGCACAGUGGCGGCGCUAUGGGGCACAGUGGCAGCGCUAUGGGGCACAGUGACGGCGCUAUGGGGCACAGGGAUGGCUCUAUGGGGCACAGCGGUGGUGCUAUGGGGCACAGUGGCAGCGCUAUGGGGCACAGUGGCAGCACUAUGGGGCGCAGUGACAGCACUAUGGGGCACAGUGAUGGCUCUAUGGGGCACAGCGGUGGUGCUAUGGGGCGCAGUGGCAGCGCUAUGGGGCACAGCGGUGGCUCUAUGGGGCACAGUGGCAGCGCUAUGGGGCACAGUGACAGCGCUAUGGGGCACAGGGGUCUCGCUAUGGGGCCCAGGGAUGGCUCUAUGGGGCACAGGGACAGCGCUAUGGGGCACAGGGAUGGCUCUAUGGGGCACAGCGGCAGCGCUAUGGGGCACAGGGAUGGCUCUAUGGGGCACAGUGGCGGCGCUAUGGGGCGCAGUGGCAGUGCUAUGGGGCACAGGGAUGGCUCUAUGGGGCACAGCGGUGGUGCUAUGGGGCACAGUGGCAGCGCUAUGGGGCGCAGUGCCAGCGCUAUGGGGCACAGUGGCAGCGCUAUGGGGCACAGUGCCGGCGCUAUGGGGCACAGGGAUGGCGCUAUGGGGCACAGGGAUGGCUCUAUGGGGCGCAGUGGCGGCGCUAUGGGGCGCAGUGACAGCGCUAUGGGGCACAGUGGCAGCGCUAUGGGGCUCAGUGACAGCGCUAUGGGGCACAGUGACAGCGCUAUGGGGCACAGCGACGUCCGGAGGUGACACAUUGGUGUCCCCCGGCGGUGUCACGUGACCUCAUCACACAUUGAUGUCCCCGGCGGAGUCACGUGACGCUGUCACAGCGCCCCCCCCUUCGGUGGUGUCACGUGACCUCAUCGCAUAUUGGUCGCCCCCCCUUCGGUGGUGUCACGUGACCUCAUCGCAUAUUGGUGUCCCCGGCGGUAUCACGUGACCUCAUCGCACAUCGGUGUCCCCGGCGGUGUCACGUGACGUUGUCACAGUGCCGCCCCCCCCCCCCCCCCCCCAAAAAACCCGGUGGUGUCACGUGACCUCAUCAGGCAUCCGUGUGCCCCGGCGGUGUCACGUGACGCUGUCACAGCGCUGUUCCCGGGCGGUGUCACGUGACCUCGUCGCACAUUGGUGUCCCCGGCGGUGUCACGUGACGCUGUCACAGCGCCCCCUCCCCCGUUGGUGUCACGUGACCUCAUCGCACGUUGGUUUCCCCCGGCGGUGUCACGUGACGUUAUCACACAUCGGUGUCCCCGGCGGUGUCACGUGACGUUGUCACAGUGCCGGGCCCCCCCCCCCCCCCCCCCCCGGUGGUGUCACGUGACUCUGUCACACAUUGGUGUCCCCCCCGGCGGUGUCACGUGACUCUGUCACACAUUGGUGUCCCUCCCCGGGGGGGGGGGGUUGGAACACAGCGAUGGGGACACCGAAGGGGGGGGGGGUCAGCUCGGUGACGUCAUUGGUGACGUCAUUGGGGACCCCCUGUGGGCUCAUCCUUUGGGGACAUCAGUGGGGACACUCCUUAAGGACACCCUAUGGGGACAGCAUUGGGGACAUCAGUGGGGACAUCAGUUUGGUGACGUCAUCAGCAUUGGGGACAACAUUGGGGACGUCAGUGGGGACAUCAGUG